RNAcentral lists this ribosomal RNA (671 nucleotides) under Henriciella marina. Its description in RNAcentral is "bacterial SSU rRNA". It matches the Rfam family "Bacterial small subunit ribosomal RNA", at positions 109 to 815 of the family's 1533-position model. Lineage: Bacteria; Pseudomonadati; Pseudomonadota; Alphaproteobacteria; Hyphomonadales; Hyphomonadaceae. The record is from RNAcentral.
AGUAACGCGUGGGAACGUACCCUUCACUACGGAAUAGCUUCUGGAAACGGAAGGUAAUACCGUAUACGCCCUCCGGGGGAAAGAUUUAUCGGUGAAGGAUCGGCCCGCGUUAGAUUAGUUUGUUGGUGGGGUAAUGGCCUACCAAGACUACGAUCUAUAGCUGGUCUGAGAGGAUGAUCAGCCACACUGGGACUGAGACACGGCCCAGACUCCUACGGGAGGCAGCAGUGGGGAAUCUUGCACAAUGGGCGAAAGCCUGAUGCAGCCAUGCCGCGUGAAUGAUGAAGGCCUUAGGGUUGUAAAAUUCUUUCGCCAGGGAUGAUAAUGACAGUACCUGGUAAAGAAGCCCCGGCUAACUUCGUGCCAGCAGCCGCGGUAAUACGAAGGGGGCUAGCGUUGUUCGGAAUUACUGGGCGUAAAGCGCGCGUAGGCGGGCUAUUAAGCCAGAUGUGAAAGCCCGGAGCUCAACUCCGGAAUUGCAUUUGGAACUGGUAGCCUAGAGACCAGGAGAGGUUAGCGGAAUACCGAGUGUAGAGGUGAAAUUCGUAGAUAUUCGGUGGAACACCAGUGGCGAAGGCGGCUAACUGGACUGGUACUGACGCUGAGGCGCGAAAGUGUGGGGAGCAAACAGGAUUAGAUACCCUGGUAGUCCACACCGUAAACGAUGAAUG